UACGGAGGGUGCAAGCGUUAUCCGGAUUCACUGGGUUUAAAGGGUGUGUAGGCGGAUAUUUAAGUCAGUGGUGAAAUCUCCGGGCUCAACCCGGAAACUGCCAUUGAUACUAUUUAUCUUGAAUACUGUUGAGGUAGGCGGAAUAUAUCAUGUAGCGGUGAAAUGCUUAGAUAUGAUAUAGAACACCGAUUGCGAAGGCAGCUUACUAAGCAGUUAUUGACGCUGAGGCACGAAAGCGUGGGGAUCAAACAGG
This 253-nucleotide ribosomal RNA is filed under the name uncultured bacterium. Its description in RNAcentral is "partial 16S ribosomal RNA". It matches the Rfam family "Bacterial small subunit ribosomal RNA", at positions 524 to 776 of the family's 1533-position model. The record is from RNAcentral.